AAAAGAAAAUUAAUUCAAAAUAAAUGUAAAUAUGAAUUAAUGCAGUAAUGUUGAUGUAAAAAAAAGUUACAUGUGCUUUUUAUGUUUUUUAACGAUGAAAUUAUCCUCGAUUAACUUAUUUUUAGGUUAAUCAUGAUAAUGUUUUAUUAGAAAGAUGUUUAGUUAUCGAAUAAUAUUUUAUAAGAAAGAAAGAACUCUUCGUUUUAUUAGACCUCAUGUGCCAUGGUUAUGUGAAUCAUUUACUAAACAAUUUUAUCUUAAUAAAAUAAAGCAAUAUCAUAGUACAAAAAAUGAUAAAAAAAGAAAACUAAUCACUUGUGUAGCUAAGGUAAAUACAAACAAAAGAGAUA
Molecule: long non-coding RNA, 350 nt
Organism: Vespula pensylvanica (western yellowjacket)
Lineage: Eukaryota; Metazoa; Arthropoda; Insecta; Hymenoptera; Vespidae
Exons: 3
Source: RefSeq, a predicted model, not a curated record